UCGUGGAGUAAUCUGUCUGGUUAAUUCCGUUAACGAACAAGACCUUAACUUGCUAAUUGGAGUGUAUAUUGAAUAUGCACUUUCAUUAGAAGGACUAUGUAUCCAUAAUACAAGGAAGCGUGAGGCAAUAACA
This 133-nucleotide ribosomal RNA is filed under the name uncultured eukaryote. RNAcentral's name for it is "partial 18S ribosomal RNA". It matches the Rfam family "Eukaryotic small subunit ribosomal RNA", at positions 1299 to 1458 of the family's 1831-position model. The record is from RNAcentral.